GGAGGCCCGGGCCUCGGAGCUGAGCUCCUGGGGUGCACGGCCAGCAUCUGGCUGGUAGUGAGCAAUGUGGUAGAGAGCCCCAAACCACGUGGCACAGGAGGCUGGGGCUCAAGGGCGCCUCCUUCUCAGCGUCUGAGCAUCCCGGAAGUAGGAGCUAACCUUCUCCUCGCAACUCCCCUGGAUCCAAGAGCUCCAUAAGAAACUCCACAUCCAACUGUGUUUCCCCAAUAUGUGGACUCCAGAUCAGCUCCUCGGUCAGGGCAGGUAAAAAGGCGUCAGCCCCCAGGGGCUCUAAGGAAGCCAGAGGACAGGUACUAAGUUUGGCAGGGGUGAACACAGACACCUUCCUUCAGGUGCCCAGGCCCGAGUGGGCGACUGCCUUCAAAGGGGGCUACCUUUCACCUGGAAGUGGGUACCCACCAUUAAACCACUCUAAGUUCAGAGGUCUUUUACCUUUAUUCUCACCGCCGGCCAGGCCUGCAUAGACGUCGCUGCACACCGCCAACAACAGCGCCACCUUGCGGCGCGGGGCGCACGCUGCGUGCAGAACAGGACUAGGAAAGUGUACUUCUGGCCCAAGAGAGUGAGCUUCUGGUCCAGGAUAAUGCACUUGUCUUUCUGGAUGAUGCACUUCCUGUCCAGUAUGGUACCCAGGCCCCGCCCAGCUAACCUAGACUGCGUUUCUGGCCAGUUUCUGGCUUUGUUUGCUGCAGUGUUUCUGUUUCCCAGCCUCCAU
Rattus rattus (black rat) is the source of this 736-nucleotide long non-coding RNA. RefSeq lists it as uncharacterized. The transcript has 4 exons. The record is from RefSeq and is a predicted model, not a curated record. NCBI's taxonomy places the organism in Eukaryota, Metazoa, Chordata, Mammalia, Rodentia, Muridae.